This 256-nucleotide ribosomal RNA is filed under the name uncultured beta proteobacterium. Its description in RNAcentral is "partial 16S ribosomal RNA". It matches the Rfam family "Bacterial small subunit ribosomal RNA", at positions 1129 to 1378 of the family's 1533-position model. Lineage: Bacteria; Pseudomonadati; Pseudomonadota; Betaproteobacteria. The record is from RNAcentral.
UGCCGUGCACUCUAGGGAGACCGCCGGCGAUAAGCUGGAGGAAGGUGGGGAUGACGUCAAGUCCUCAUGGCCCUUAUGUCCCGGGCUACACACACGCUACAAUGGCCUGAACAAAGGGUUGCAAGACCGCGAGGUGGAGCUAAUCCCAAAAAUCAGGCCUCAGUUCAGAUUGCAGGCUGCAACUCGCCUGCAUGAAGACGAAGUUGCUAGUAACCGCAGGUCAGCUAUACUGCGGUGAAUACGUUCUCGGGGGCUU